UUUCAGUUAUCGAAUGGGAGACUUCCACGAGAAGCCCAAUUCCAGUGCCAUAUAAGCCCCUGUGACCAUCUGGAAAGCAACGUUGUUCAGUUUGCAGUGUUGCAGACUGUCCCAGGUCACGGGUAUAACAUAGAAUUUGGACUCCUAUCUAAUAGAGCCAUCUCGGAUGUGGUCAAAAGUAAAACAGAUUUACCACGAUCACAGGAGGAACCCUUGUAAACUGAAGCGGCGAAGCACCAACUAAUGCUCAUCGUUACAGUUCCUGGUUGAGUGAUUUCCAUGGGUAACCAUAGUCCUGUGCCAUAUAAGCCCCUGCGACCGUCUGGAAAUAUUCCAGGAUUCCAGGUAGUGUAUCUUCAGCAGCCAGUCUUCGGACCCGGGGGCGUGGCUGGCCGAAAAUCGCUGGUCGGACGUGUACGUGAAUCGACCGACCGUCAGCAGGUGGAUGUCGCGGUGUCGAAUCCACGAUACCUGUGACAGGAGACAGCCCAUAGUUGGUGGGAUGGGAGAGUUCGAAGCCAAAUGGAUCUUUUGACGAACUUCCCAAGAAGUCGGGAGCCACGACAGCAUUUUUAAGAAGUUUAAAUUGAUUCAUUACGCCAAGCGACAAAAGCUUCGGAGAUAAUUAAGGUAAUUAUGGACUUCACUGGCAGAAGACUGAUGGAGAAGUUGAGUGACGCCGCCAUCGCCUCCAGCAUCAGCCUGUCCGUUCCAGAAUAUUCCACACCACCAUCGGCCGUCUUCUCCUCAACCCAGUAAGGUCAUUUGAGUACUACACCUUUAGUACUGAAUCCUUUAUUAAACGCGAACUAACGACUUAGAAUGUAUGUUUAUGUUUGCAAUCACAGGGACUAUACUACUGCGCACAACUAACGUAGUAUAGCCAGGUUUUAGAUGGAUAUUGAGACAAAGUCCAGAGGAGAACAUUUGCUUCUGCAGUUCAACGUAACGUUACUCGUAUGCUUCAAGCUAACUUACUUUGAGAAUUUCUGAGGAAAAAGGAGAUUACUAUCUGGGAGAACGAGAUUCUCCGAUUGCGUCCAGAAUCCAACUCGAACCAGACGACUUCCAGAGGCGGUGAA
Molecule: long non-coding RNA, 1082 nt
Organism: Macrobrachium nipponense
Lineage: Eukaryota; Metazoa; Arthropoda; Malacostraca; Decapoda; Palaemonidae
Exons: 7
Source: RefSeq, a predicted model, not a curated record